This 253-nucleotide ribosomal RNA is filed under the name uncultured bacterium. RNAcentral's name for it is "partial 16S ribosomal RNA". It matches the Rfam family "Bacterial small subunit ribosomal RNA", at positions 524 to 776 of the family's 1533-position model. The record is from RNAcentral.
UACGUAGGGUGCGAGCGUUGUCCGGAAUUAUUGGGCGUAAAGGGCUCGUAGGCGGUUUGUCGCGUCGGGAGUGAAAACACCGGGCUUAACUCGGUGCUUGCUUUCGAUACGGGCAGACUAGAGGCAUGCAGGGGAGAACGGAAUUCCUGGUGUAGCGGUGAAAUGCGCAGAUAUCAGGAGGAACACCGGUGGCGAAGGCGGUUCUCUGGGCAUGUCCUGACGCUGAGGAGCGAAAGGGUGGGGAGCGAACAGG